UAACCGCAAUCGAGAGGUUGCGCUUAACCCGCAGGAGUCAGCAGAGGUCAUAGUGCGUGCGUGGC
Molecule: non-coding RNA, 65 nt
Organism: Paenibacillus sp.
Lineage: Bacteria; Bacillati; Bacillota; Bacilli; Caryophanales; Paenibacillaceae
Source: Rfam